This 241-nucleotide long non-coding RNA is filed under the name Gigantopelta aegis. Its description in RNAcentral is "uncharacterized LOC121376875". Lineage: Eukaryota; Metazoa; Mollusca; Gastropoda; Neomphalida; Peltospiridae. The record is from RNAcentral.
AACUGGGUUUGACAGUCCGACUCUUUGUCAAUCUGACGCAGUGAACGCCUCACCCGAGCUGACAGUUCGAUGCCACAGUACUUGCACUUUUCUAUCAUCGAUGUUCCCGGGGCGUUGUUCAGCCUGUGGAUGGUGGAUGCAGCUCUCCCAGUCAUCGUUCGUGAAUAGUUCACAUUCUUAGCUCUGUGAUUCUGUGUGUACCCAGGAACAUGGAUCGGUGCCACCAGUUGUUCGUUAUUCC